GUAGGUGGCAAGCGUUGUCCGGAAUUAUUGGGCGUAAAGCGCGCGCAGGCGGUCCUUUAAGUCUGAUGUGAAAGCCCACGGCUCAACCGUGGAGGGUCAUUGGAAACUGGGGGACUUGAGUACAGAAGAGGAAAGCGGAAUUCCAAGUGUAGCGGUGAAAUGCGUAGAGAUUUGGAGGAACGCCAGUGGCGAAGGCGGCUUUCUGGUCUGUAACUGACGCUGAGGCGCGAAAGCGUGGGGAGCAAACAGGGAUUAGAUACCCUGGUAGUCCACGCCGUAAACGAUGAGUGCUAAGUGUUAGGGGGUUUCCCGCCCCUUAGUGCUGCAGCUAACGCAUUAAGCACUCCGCCUGGGGAUACGGCCGCAAGGCUG
RNAcentral lists this ribosomal RNA (372 nucleotides) under uncultured organism. RNAcentral's name for it is "partial 16S ribosomal RNA". It matches the Rfam family "Bacterial small subunit ribosomal RNA", at positions 527 to 896 of the family's 1533-position model. The record is from RNAcentral.